UGUGAAGGAGCUAAGUGGUAGAGCACUUGCCUUGCAUACUUGAGGCCCUGGGUUCAAUUCUCAGCACCACAU
This 72-nucleotide transfer RNA is filed under the name Dipodomys ordii (Ord's kangaroo rat). It matches the Rfam family "tRNA". From Rfam's summary of the family: Transfer RNA (tRNA) molecules are approximately 80 nucleotides in length. Their secondary structure includes four short double-helical elements and three loops (D, anti-codon, and T loops). Lineage: Eukaryota; Metazoa; Chordata; Mammalia; Rodentia; Heteromyidae. The record is from Rfam by way of RNAcentral.